This 433-nucleotide ribosomal RNA is filed under the name uncultured bacterium. RNAcentral describes it as "partial 16S ribosomal RNA". It matches the Rfam family "Bacterial small subunit ribosomal RNA", at positions 29 to 507 of the family's 1533-position model. The record is from RNAcentral.
AACGAACGCUGUCGGCAUGCCUAACACAUGCAAGUCUAACGAGACCUUCGGGCCUCGUGGCGCACGGGUGCGUCACGCGUGGGAAUCUGCCCUUGGGUUCGGCAUAACAGUUGGAAACGACUUCUAAUCCCCGAUGAUGACGUAAGGCCAAACAUUAAUCGACCAAGGAUGAGCCCGCGUAGGAUUAGCUAGUUGGUGAGGUAAAGGCCCACCAAGGCGACGAUCCUUAGCUGGUCUGAGAGGAUGAUCAGCGACAAUGGGACUGAGACACGGCCCAGAAUCGUGAGGGAGGCAGUAGGAGGGAAUAUUGGACAAGGCGAGAAAGCUGUAGGCAGCCACGCUGAGUACGUGAUGAAGGCCCUAGGGUUGCAAAGCCCUCUUACCCGGGACGAUAAUGACAGUCCCGUGAGAAAAAGCUCGGGCUAACCCGGUG